This 73-nucleotide transfer RNA is filed under the name Marmota monax (woodchuck). Its description in RNAcentral is "tRNA.Gly". Lineage: Eukaryota; Metazoa; Chordata; Mammalia; Rodentia; Sciuridae. The record is from RNAcentral.
GGGGUUGUGGCUCAGCGGUAGAGUGCUUGCCUUCCAAAUGUGCAAGACCCUGGGUUCGAUCUUCAGCACCACA